RNAcentral lists this transfer RNA (71 nucleotides) under Aphyosemion gabunense (Gabon killifish). Its description in RNAcentral is "tRNA-Val". It matches the Rfam family "tRNA". Rfam says of the family: Transfer RNA (tRNA) molecules are approximately 80 nucleotides in length. Their secondary structure includes four short double-helical elements and three loops (D, anti-codon, and T loops). The record is from RNAcentral. Lineage: Eukaryota; Metazoa; Chordata; Actinopteri; Cyprinodontiformes; Nothobranchiidae.
CAGAGUAUAGCUAAAAAGUAAAGCAUCUCCCUUACACUGAGGAAUCACCUGUGCGAAUCAGGUUACUCUGA